CCUACGGGUGGCUGCAGUGAGGAAUAUUGGUCAAUGGGCGGGAGCCUGAACCAGCCAAGUCGCGUGAAGGAAGAAGGUCCUUAGUAUUGUAAACUUCUUUUGUCGGGGAACAAAGGCGGAGACGCGUCUCCGGAUGAGUGUACCUGAAGAAAAAGCAUCGGCUAACUCCGUGCCAGCAGCCGCGGUAAUACGGAGGAUGCGAGCGUUAUCCGGAUUUAUUGGGUUUAAAGGGUGCGUAGGCGGAUUGAUAAGUUAGUGGUGAAAUGUCCGAGCUUAACUCGGGAACUGCCACUAAUACUGUUGAUCUAGAGAGUAGAUGCGGUAGGCGGAAUGUAUGGUGUAGCGGUGAAAUGCUUAGAGAUCAUACAGAACACCGAUUGCGAAGGCAGCUUACCAAUCUAUAUCUGACGUUGAGGCACGAAAGCGUGGGUAUCAAACAGGAUUAGAUACCCGUGUAGUC
This 460-nucleotide ribosomal RNA is filed under the name uncultured bacterium. RNAcentral describes it as "partial 16S ribosomal RNA". It matches the Rfam family "Bacterial small subunit ribosomal RNA", at positions 338 to 795 of the family's 1533-position model. The record is from RNAcentral.